Molecule: microRNA precursor, 59 nt
Organism: Ciona intestinalis (vase tunicate)
Lineage: Eukaryota; Metazoa; Chordata; Ascidiacea; Phlebobranchia; Cionidae
Product: cin-mir-4003b
Source: Ensembl
UGAGUUGGUUAUUCAAUCUUGCGAUAUUUAACAGUAGCAAGAUUGGUAACCAACACUAA